GAGUUGAUGCUCGAGUGGUUAAUGAGAAUGGACUGUAAAUCCAUUGGGAAACCUACGUUAGUUCAAAUCUAACUCAACUCA
Molecule: transfer RNA, 81 nt
Filed under: Pterocladiophila hemisphaerica
Lineage: Eukaryota; Rhodophyta; Florideophyceae; Gracilariales; Pterocladiophilaceae
Description: tRNA-Tyr
Rfam family: tRNA
About the family: Transfer RNA (tRNA) molecules are approximately 80 nucleotides in length. Their secondary structure includes four short double-helical elements and three loops (D, anti-codon, and T loops).
Source: RNAcentral